This 805-nucleotide ribosomal RNA is filed under the name uncultured bacterium. RNAcentral's name for it is "bacterial SSU rRNA". It matches the Rfam family "Bacterial small subunit ribosomal RNA", at positions 8 to 801 of the family's 1533-position model. The record is from RNAcentral.
AGAGUUUGAUCCUGGCUCAGAACGAACGCUGGCGGCGCGUUUUAAGCAUGCAAGUCGAGCGGCAGGGGGGCUUCGGUCCCCCGAGAGCGGCGGACGGGUGAGUAACACGUGGACAACCUGCCCCCCGGUUCGGGAUAGCCCAGGGAAACCUGGAUCAAUACCGGAUGCGAGGGCGGCCGCACAAGCGGCCGUCGGGAAAGGCGCUUCGGCGCCGCCGGGGGAUGGGUCCGCGUCCCAUUAGCUAGACGGUGGGGUGACGGCCCACCGUGGCGAUGAUGGGUAGCCGGCCUGAGAGGGUGGACGGCCACAUUGGAACUGAGACACGGUCCAGACUCCUACGGGAGGCAGCAGCUAAGAAUCUUCCGCAAUGGGCGAAAGCCUGACGGAGCGACGCCGCGUGAACGAAGAAGGCCGUGAGGUUGUAAAGUUCUUUUCGGGAGGGGGAACGAGGCUGCCAGGCAAUGGGCGGCCGAUGACGUGAAUCCCGGAAUAAGCCCCGGCUAACUACGUGCCAGCAGCCGCGGUAACACGUAGGGGGCGAGCGUUGUUCGGAAUCAUUGGGCGUAAAGGGCGUGCAGGCGGCCGCCAAAGUCCGGCGUGAAAGACCCAGGCUCAACCUGGGGGGUGCGCCGGAUACUGGGCGGCUUGAGUACAGGAGGGGACGGCGGAAUUCCAGGUGUAGGGGUGAAAUCUGUAGAUAUCUGGAGGAACACCGAUGGCGAAGGCAGCCGUCUGGCCAUGUACUGACGCUGAGGCGCGAAGGUGCGGGGAGCAAACAGGUUUAGAUACCCUGGUAGUCCGCACA